GCAAGAGGCACGCCGAUCGAGAGAACGAACACCAACUGACCUGCAAACAUUAAAAGAAAGAGCAGCAGCCCGGGAAAGAAAACAGACGACCAAAGAAAGGAGAGAACGUGAAACGUGAAACAGCUGUCAGACAAGAGAUAACCAAACCAAAAGGCCUCCUCGAACCUCAACCACUUCCCCGAUGAAAGGGGAGCCCGGAUAGUCACCAAACCAAACAACCAGCAACCUGACCCGG
This 235-nucleotide long non-coding RNA is filed under the name Salvia miltiorrhiza (redroot sage). RNAcentral describes it as "long non-coding RNA (SMIL_LNC014243)". The record is from RNAcentral. Lineage: Eukaryota; Viridiplantae; Streptophyta; Magnoliopsida; Lamiales; Lamiaceae.